AGUUGCGUGAUAAGCACAAAGCGAACUAUUCUUUCGCCUUUUACUAAAGAAUACCGUGUGCUUUCCACAUAGAGCAACAUACUCUAAUUUUUUAAAGGGAUUUUCUUUUACAAGAAAU
Molecule: small nuclear RNA, 118 nt
Organism: Cannabis sativa
Lineage: Eukaryota; Viridiplantae; Streptophyta; Magnoliopsida; Rosales; Cannabaceae
Product: U5 spliceosomal RNA
Exons: 1
Source: RefSeq, a predicted model, not a curated record